GGGGAAUAUUGCACAAUGGAGGGAACUCUGAUGCAGCGACGCCGCGUGAACGAAGAAGGCUUUCGAGUCGUAAAGUUCUUUUAUAUGGGAAGAUAAUGACGGUACCAUAAGAAAAAGCCCCGGCUAACUACGUGCCAGCAGCCGCGGUAAUACGUAGGGGGCUAGCGUUGUCCGGAAUCACUGGGCGUAAAGGGUUCGCAGGCGGAAAUGCAAGUCAGAUGUAAAAGGCAGUAGCUUAACUACUGUAAGCAUUUGAAACUGCAUAUCUUGAGAAGAGUAGAGGUAAGUGGAAUUUUUAGUGUAGCGGUGAAAUGCGUAGAUAUUAAAAAGAAUACCGGUGGCGAAGGCGACUUACUGGGCUCAUUCUGGCGCUGAGGAACGAAAGCGUGGGUAGCAAACAGGAUUAGAUACCCUGGUAGUCCACGCUGUAAACGAUGAGUGCUAGGUGUCGGCGAAUGUCGGUGCCGCAGUUAACACAAUAAGCACUCCGCCUGGGGAGUACGUGCGCAAGCAUG
This 515-nucleotide ribosomal RNA is filed under the name uncultured bacterium. RNAcentral describes it as "bacterial SSU rRNA". It matches the Rfam family "Bacterial small subunit ribosomal RNA", at positions 356 to 896 of the family's 1533-position model. The record is from RNAcentral.